Molecule: non-coding RNA, 2335 nt
Organism: Manis javanica (Malayan pangolin)
Lineage: Eukaryota; Metazoa; Chordata; Mammalia; Pholidota; Manidae
Source: RefSeq, a predicted model, not a curated record
GGCGCCCGGGGGGCCCCUUCCGGCCGAGGCCGCUUCCUGCGCGGCUGGGAAGGCGCCUGUCCCGCCGCCGCCGGGGCCUAGAAACCCACACGCGGCCCCCACCACAACCGCAAAUCCAGUGAGGGGCGGGCAGGACGGGGCCGCGCAGCCUCCUCCUCUCCCCUGGCGGGCCCCCAGGACAGGGACGCCAUGCAACACACGCCGGGACACAGUGACAGGCAGCCCCUAAGCAACAUGGGUUUCUAUACAUGUUAGGAUUAUGAGGCCCCAGAGGCUCACACGGGGCAUAGACCGCAGGCAGCGUGUCCCGGGCCCCACGUGUGCACGCUCGCCGUAGCACUCCAGCGGAGGGAUGAUUGGCAAGCAGCACAGCCACCCCAUGACAUUGCACCCUGUUCCCGCCCAGGGCCGGCAAGGCUGGGAGCCAGCAGCUUCAUCUUCCAGCACCCCAGCUUCGGGAUGCCUGCUCCACAGUGCCUGAGAUGGGCGGCCCUGCAGGUGGGAGCUAUGCCUUAUGACUACUGGCCGUGUUGCUGCCAGCGCCAAGCCCAGGGGUUCCCAUUAAUCCCAGAGGGAAGAAGAGUGAGUUCCCAGGGGGACACUGACAGCCACCACCAUAGCCGAGUGGCCCAAGUGGACGCCUCGGUUACUGGACCAGUCGCAGUCCUGUACCGUUUGACAGGUGGCAUGGUGGGUCACACAUCACUUCUGUGAGUCUCCUGCCAAAGGGCCAUGCCCUGCCUCUGAGCAUGAUGAAACCUCAGACACGCACAUGGAGGGACUUUGGACGGGGUGGGCCCAGAGCCUUCGAAGGGAGCAGGGUCACAGCUGUCAGGGAAAGGCCAAGGAAUGUUCUGGACCAAUGGAGACCAAAGAGAACAGGAUCACUCAGAGCAGCGUGUAGCCCUGGGCUGAAUCUUAUCACCACAAGGACAUUACUGGGACAAGCAGAAAGCCUCAGGUGUGGUCUAGGGCCAGACGGCAGCUGCCUUGCCUGACCUGUGGCUGUGGUGACAUCAGAGAAUGUCUUGCUUUGGGGUGUGUUGGAGCAGUGUCUGCAAUGAACUCUCAAAUGCUUCUGGGGUUGGGGUUGGGGGCAGUUCCUACACUACUGUUGCAACUUUUCUAUAAGCUUGAUUCUGUUAGAAAUUUAUUUUUAAGAAUGUUUAUGGGGAGGAUGCAUGAAUCCUCUGUUGAGGCCUGUUGAGCUUGAGCUGCCCAGCAGAGUGGGCUCCUGCCAUGGGGCAGCGCCGGGAAAGGACUGAAAGCACACAGCAGGGCACCAAAUGCAUCUGCGGUGCCUGUAAACACAAAGGCAGGGAGCCAGACUCCUUCCUGGUGCAGCACAGAGAACAGAGACGUGCUCCUUAAAUGUUCUUGGGAAGGAAGCCUCUCGGAGCAGGGAACGGCACCGUGUGACUCCUGGGUGAGCAGGUGGAUACCGAGCAGCCUAAGUGAGGCUCGGGGCUGGGCUCACGCCCACUGAGGGCUGGGAAGUAAGGCCAGUGUGGGACAGAGUCAAGGUCACAGACCCUUCCAGGAACGGGGGCUGGAGCUGGUCAUGACAAGGUGACCUAGAAGGGGCUGUCUGGUUCCUAAAGGGGACAUAGAGACCCCACCCACUAACCUGCAGGUGGAGCCCAGACCAAGACAGGGGGACAGGGCACCAGGAAAAUGCAGCACAGCGGAACAGAGGAUGCGUCCCACUAGAUCAGAGACUAUGGGGAGCCUGCUGGGAAGUGUGAGAGGAGUCAGCUACAGGCGCAGAGAAAGCCCAGCAAGGGAAAAAGUAAAGCAAGGCAAAUAUUAACUCCAGGAAAAACAGAGAGAAAAUCUAAACAGUGUUUGCUCCUUGGCUAAGCAGUGAACAGUAUUUACAUGGUUAUAGUAGUAUAAACAACUUGACCAAAAAUGAUGAAAUAGCUCAUUGGGGACAAAGGAGAACAGAGUGCAGACUGGGGGCCCCCCUGGCAACUUCUCACAGUGCCCCCAACUGGUACACAAAGAACAAGCAGCAAUAGCACAUAACUGAGAAACAGGGAGAAAAAUCAGACAAGACGGAUAACGGCACUGACAGCGGCUGCCGGGCCCCAGGCCCCGGGUCAGCAGCAGCCCUGCGAGUGCUUCAGACUCACUGAGUGUCCCGGCCUUUUGGGUUCUUUCGGUUCCCUUUAUGUAUGCAACUGUCUUUCUUUAGUAAGAAUUAAAACACAACGCUAAACUAAAAAUAAGUAACAGAAAACUGAACUCACAAUCCCACCACAAAACACUGCAGUUUGGGACGUUAAAGAACACACUUUAAAUAAGUCAUUGAUUAAAGAUGGAAUCAAGAUGG